This is an RNA transcript of Panthera uncia (snow leopard), 20877 nucleotides long. It is a transcript of the gene named poly(A) specific ribonuclease subunit PAN3, with no coding region annotated. NCBI's taxonomy places the organism in Eukaryota, Metazoa, Chordata, Mammalia, Carnivora, Felidae. The transcript has 22 exons. The record is from RefSeq and is a predicted model, not a curated record.
UUUACGAACCAUGAGACCAUGACCUGAGCCGAAAUCAAAAGUUGGACGCUUGACUGAGCCAUGCAGGUGCCUCAAGUUUGGCCCUUUUAGAUUCCACAUAUAAGGGAGAACAUACUAUGUUUGUCUUUCUCUGACUGAUUUCACUUAGCAUAAUGCCCUCAGUGUUCACCUGUGGUGUCACAAAUGUCAGGGUUUCCCUUUUUAUGGCCGAGUGAUAUUCCAUUGUGUAUGUUUGUGUGUAUGUAUGUAUAUAUCACAUUUUAUGCAUAUGUAUAUAUGUAUCACACUUUUGUUAGCCAUUCAUCUGUCAGCAGAUACCUAGGUUGUUUCCAUGCCUUGGCUGUUAGGAAUAAUGCUGCAGUGAACAUGGGGGUGCAGACAUUUCUUCAAGAUAGCGAUUCCGUUUCCUUUGGGUGUAUACAGUAGUUCUGCUGUACCUGCUGGCGAUACAGUUCGAGACCCCCCCACCCCCAAGCCCGGUGGAUGUUUGAAAUUGCAGAUGGCUAGAACCUUAUAUAUACUAUGUUUUUUUCUAGGAAUACAUUUUUCAUUUUAAUAGUGGGCAUUUUGAGAAAUAAGUCUUAAAAAUAGACCAGAAAAAUUAUCUCAGUUUGCUUUCCAAGGAAUCCCUAUGUGUUAGUCUGUCUGAAGUAUAAUAAAAUACUUCAGAUUGGAUGUCUUAACAAACAACAGAAAUUUAUUUCUCACAGUUCUGGGGGCUGGAAAGUCCCAGAUCAUAGCACUGGCACAUUUUAUGUGGUGGUUGGCUAGGACCCACUUCCUGCUUCAUAAAUGGGUGCCUUCUUGUAUCCUAACAUGGUGGAAGGGACUAGGGGUCUUUAGGGAUUUCUUGUGAAAAAGAAGAUUAAUCUCAUUCCUGAGACCUCCACUCCCAUGACCUACGCACCUCCCAAAGGCCCUGCCUCCUAAUACCAUUAUCUUUGGGGGUUAGGAUUUCAGCAUGUGAAUUUUGCAGGUUACAGACAUUCAGAUCAUAGCACCCUACAUCCAACUGUCAGCAUUCUCUUAGUUUUCUUAGUUGGGGGUGGUAGUGGUUUCACUGGUUCUCAGAGGGUGUGCCCAGAAGAGGACAAUCCUACUUGGAGCUUAGCUCAUUUUUAAAGCAUAUGGUUUUGUACUUAACUAUCAAAUAGCAACAUUCCAAGUAAUUACCAAGAGGUAGCAUCUAAACCAUAUUGUCCAUUACUUUGUUGAUAUAUGAUGGAUUGUCAUACUACUUAACAAUCGUUUUGUAUUAACCUAUCCUAAAAUCAACAGCUUGUCUGUAUUUCUGAACUCUAUCCUAUUGCUACACUGCAGAAUUGUUUUUACUGAAUUAUGCGUUAAUGUGAGACUGCUGGUCUGUUUCAUAAGAUGUAUUAAGAGAACAGUCCUGAGAAACUUACAUCUGUUUCUCCUCUGAAGAUUCAGUUGCAGUGUUUGUAUUCUGUCUUCUUGCAAAGUUAAAGAAAGAAAACUUGAGAAAAUGAAAUGCAAGUGUGGUUUGUUUCUUCACGUUAUGUUUGGUGGUGCUUACAUACUAAUACAAAAUAAAAUACUAUCUGUGUGGGAAAAAAAUCCGUCAACUUGAGCAUUGUUCAUCAAAUGUUUAGAGCUGAGCCAAUUUUAUUUGGUCCUGCCUUCUGUUAUGAACAGAUAAAUAAAAGGAAGUGUGACAGAGAUUUGAGACUUUAAAAUCUAUUAGAGACACAGAAACUACAUCAGUAUUUUGUACUUCCAAAUAAUUAAAAUGCUUGAAUUUUCCUUUUCUUUCAGUUCCUGGAAUAGAUGGAGGUGCUUUAACUGAUACAAGUCUCACAGAUUCCUAUUUCAGCACCAGCUUCAUUGGAGUCAAUGGAUUUGGAAGCCCAGUGGAAACAAAGUAUCCCUUGAUGCAGAGAGUGACUAACAGUAGCAGCUCCCCAAGCCUUCUGAAUGACAGUGCCAAGCCAUAUGCAGGCCACGAUCCUCUAACUUCACCUGCUUCAUCCUUGUUUAAUGACUUUGGUGCCCUCAACAUCUCUCAGAGAAGAAAGCCAAGGAAGUAUCGCCUGGGGAUGCUGGAGGAGAGGCUAGUUCCGAUGGGAUCAAAGGCACGAAAAGCAAAGAACCCUAUUGGCUGCCUUGCUGACAGGUGUAAAUCAGGAGUACCCAUCAAUAUGGUUUGGUGGAACAGAGUCACAGAAAACAAUUUACAGCGCCCCUUGGGGAUCUCAGCACAUCUUCAUGACUUCAGCUACUCCCUGCUCGUAGUUGACUUCCAGACACCAAAUCCUACUGCAAGCGAGUUUAUUCCUAAAGGAGGAUCAACCUCCAGGCUGAGUAACGUGUCCCAGUCAAAUAUGUCUGCCUUCUCUCAAGUUUUCUCUCACCCGUCCCUGGGAAGUCCUGCUGCUGCUGGCUUAGCACCAGGAAUGUCCUUGUCUGCCGGAUCUUCUCCUCUUCAUUCUCCCAAGAUCACUCCACAUACUUCUCCUGCGCCCAGAAGAAGAAGUCACACUCCAAAUCCAGCAAAUUACAUGGUGCCUUCUAGUGCCUCUACAUCUGUUAAUAAUCCCGUUUCUCAGACUCCAUCUUCUGGUCAGGUGAUCCAAAAGGAAACCGUCGGUGGGACGACUUACUUCUAUACAGACACAACCCCAGCACCUUUGACUGGAAUGAGAUCUUUCAAAAAUUAUCACAGAACAGCUUGCCGAACAGAAGGUCAAAUAAUUGAGGUAUUUCCAAACUACCACAUAUAUCCUCCAACUGCACCUCAUGUUGCCUACAUGCAACCAAAAGCAAAUGCACCCUCCUUCUUCAUGGCCGACGAACUCCGACAGGAGCUGAUUAACAGGCAUUUAAUAACAAUGGCUCAAAUCGACCAAGCGGAUAUGCCAGCAGUCCCUACAGAAGUUGACAGCUACCAUAGCCUGUUCCCUCUAGAACCACUGCCGCCGCCCAACCGGAUACAGAAAUCAAGUAAUUUUGGAUACAUCACAUCUUGCUACAAAGCUGUAAACAGCAAAGACGAUCUGCCGUAUUGCCUUCGGAGGAUACAUGGUUUUCGUCUCGUUAACACAAAGUGCAUGGUGUUGGUCGAUAUGUGGAAAAAAAUUCAGCACUCAAAUAUCGUAACCUUGCGUGAAGUAUUUACCACUAAAGCAUUUGCAGAGCCUUCCCUUGUGUUUGCAUAUGAUUUCCAUGCGGGAGGAGAGACUAUGAUGAGCAGACACUUCAAUGACCCUAAUGCUGAUGCCUAUUUCACAAAGAGAAAGUGGGGUCAACAUGAUGGACCAUUACCCAGACAGCAUGCCGGAUUAUUGCCAGAAUCUCUUAUUUGGGCCUAUAUUGUCCAACUGAGUUCUGCGUUGCGUACCAUUCACACAGCAGGUUUGGCGUGUCGAGUUAUGGACCCAACAAAGAUUCUGAUAACUGGCAAAACAAGGUUGCGAGUAAAUUGUGUUGGAGUUUUUGAUGUUUUAACAUUUGAUAACAGUCAGAAUAAUAAUCCAUUGGCAUUAAUGGCACAGUACCAGCAAGCAGAUCUGAUAUCAUUAGGAAAAGUUGUGUUGGCUUUGGCUUGCAACUCUUUGGCAGGAAUUCAGCGAGAGAAUUUACAGAAAGCCAUGGAACUGGUGACAAUCAACUACUCCUCUGACCUGAAGAAUCUGAUUCUGUAUUUGUUGACUGACCAAAACAGGAUGCGAAGUGUAAAUGACAUCAUGCCCAUGAUUGGUGCUCGAUUUUAUACUCAGUUGGAUGCUGCUCAAAUGAGAAAUGAUGUCAUAGAGGAAGACCUUGCAAAGGAGGUUCAAAAUGGAAGACUGUUUAGGCUUCUAGCAAAAUUGGGAACAAUCAAUGAGAGGCCGGAGUUUCAGAAGGAUCCUACCUGGUCGGAGACUGGAGACCGUUAUCUGUUGAAACUCUUUAGGGAUCAUCUUUUCCAUCAGGUGACAGAAGCGGGUGCCCCUUGGAUUGACCUCAGCCAUAUCAUUUCUUGUCUUAACAAGUUAGAUGCUGGCGUGCCAGAAAAAAUAAGCCUCAUUUCCAGAGACGAGAAGAGCGUACUUGUGGUGACUUACAGUGACUUAAAGCGCUGCUUCGAAAACACUUUCCAGGAACUGAUUGCAGCUGCGAAUGGGCAGUUGUAGUAUUUGCUGAAGAAGCACGCAGGACACGGCUGAGGACCUUACCCGAUAGCAAAUUGCACUCCAGCUGAACUGGUCUCAUCCUCUCCUUCCACAUUUGGGAAACCCGACAGGAGAUGAGCAGGCUGCUUGCACUUCAGUCAGGUACACUGCUACCCGAGAGGAAGAAUGUCCCACUUAGCCUAGAGCUGUGGCUGCCACGGGGGCCGAUCUGUGAAGAAUACUUUGGAUCAAGGAGCGCCAUCAGGUGAAUGGCGUUCCGGCUGUUGUGUUUUUCCCCUUGUGUAUGCACUAAUUUUAAUUUUUUAAAGACUUUUUUCUGAUCUUGGAACUUUUGCCACAUUGUACACUUACUUACUAAGGGAAACUGUUUGCCAGGACAUUUUUGGGAAACAACGAUGGGCAGCAUUUUUGUCACUGAGGGUUGCGGCAUCGGCUCUUUGGGGGAUGGGUUGCCCUGACCGACGUAAUGGACCAGGUAAAUGGUUUCACAGAAGCACCGUGUGGUGUAUAAUCCUUGUAAGAGUAUUGGGUGCAAGCUCUGUCUGCCACCGCUGUUAGUUCAAGUGGAGAUUUUGGGGUUUUUGUUUUGUUUUGUUUUUAAGAACAGACAAAAGAGAGGCCAGUGGAUUGUGGGAUACAAACUCCCCUAUUAGUAGACUUAAAUCCUUUAUGACUAAGGAUUGGAUACACAGGAACUUACACACAGGAGCACACAGAGCUCUGGGCUCCAGGUUCAUCCAGAGUCUUUUCUUAAAAAGGUGUUUCCCUGCUCGUCAGACAUACUUAACAUUUAUGCAACUUUUUUUUUUUUUUUUAAUGGGAAAAAAGGUAAAUUGCGUUAGAGGCCUGAAGUUCAGGAGUAUAUUGCUUUAGAUUAUUUCCAGUUUGCUUUUUUUGUAUAAAGUUCUGUUCUUGGAACCACAGCUUUAUUAUGGUACUUUACACUGGAUACAGACACAGAGACGCUGUUCGGAAGGUGAACGAAACACAGCAGUGGUCUGGCAUCGAGAGCUUUCUGAAGUUUUACAGCCUGAAUCUGGAGGGAUAACAAUCUGCUGUGCCUUUGCAGUCACUGCUUAGCCCAAAGUAAUAGUACUUUUGAUAAUAACUUCACUAUGUGGGAUAUUCCUGAAUAAGUCAAUCUCAAAAGUUUGGAAUUUUCCUCCUCUUAACUUUCUUAAUAUUCGGACGUGCAGUUGUUGCCAAACUUGGGUAUUCGUGGAAUUUCUAGUUAAUGACACACCUACUCUUUGAUACUGAAGACUGCCAAAUACAUAGGAGUUUUCUUUCACAAAAACACAGUAAUGAAGACUCUGUCUCCUUUCCCAGCACUGAAUGUUUUACUAGCACUGGGUGCUCACCAUGCAACUAUGAAGAAAACGUGGAAACUCAGAAGGUCAGGAAAGACUUCCAAGCGCUUGCAACUGAUGUUACGGUCUUCAAUUUUAAUAAUUGCUCAUAUUUGUAGUUUUCAGAGAAGUUUUUAAUAUUUCUCUGUCCACUUUUUAUAAGCUUUAAAAUGAUUUUCUCUGCCUUGAGAUUUGCAUCAAGAAAAAAACACCUCUCUUCACCUGAAAGCUUUGAAGACUACAGACAUGCUUUACACAUUUUAACAAGUGUGUCUGAGUCCACGUUUGGUAGCAUCAGUUGUUGAGUUCAAAAGAAAAUCAAUUAUUGCAUUUGAUCUGGAUGGAUUUUACGAGAACAUAAUGUUCACUGUUCAAAGGAUGAUUAACAUUUGCCACCAUAAUGUUCUUUUUUUAUGUAAAAGGAACAAGAACUUGGAGACAUUAACAUGCAAAAGUCUUUUAUCAUUAGCUCAUGUAUUUGAGGAAGAGCAGCUGUCUUUUUAUAUGUUUUUUGACAAAUCAUAUUGUGAUUCUUUUGUACAAAAAAGAACUACUUGUAUUCUAGAAGAAAUAUGAAAUGCUUAAUUUAUAAGCGGGCUGGAGAUUUUUUCCAAUAUUGUUUUCUUUGAAAAUGAAAGGGGAUCAUCUAUUUUAGUUUUGGGGUCUGGGAACUUUUUGAAAAUUUAAUUUGUGGACCAAUGUUUUGUGAAAGCUAAUAAGGAAGGGCAGGGGUAAAAUAGGGCUUGAAUUUCUCAUCCUGUAUCGACCAGCAAACUUCCCUCUGCAAGGCAGGUUCAAAUCACAAACCCAAGAAUGUUUGCAUCCUAAGUGCUAGUUUGCUUCAGCCCCUAGUAACCUCAGGACUUGGCUUGAAUAUAAAGGUGGACAGCUGAUCUGUUUUCAUGAGUAAAUAUUGUCGGCCAGAAAACAGUUGGUGUCAGGUAAUACAUCUUUUUUUUAAGCUUUGUUUUAUAUUUAUUUUUCAUUUAGUUUUUAUUGGGAAUGGUUUCCAGUAGAACUCUUAUUAGUUCUGCUUAGGUGUUUUUUGGGGGAGCCCUCUUUUCCAUAGUGUAAUUCCACUUAAGAGGUUGUCUAAAAGGUAGUCUUUUUAAUUCAUAGGAAGAUUGUAAUAUCUGAGAGUAGUCAAAUUAAGGAUACAAACUUCCCACACCUUCCUGUUAUGACAGAUCAAAGCACAGAAAGGACAACCCUUGAAAUCAUGUAACGUUGGUCAUUUCAAUUUUUUGUACCUAUUUUAAAUUCUGUUAGUGUAUUUACUUCAUUGUAAAUAUUUUUGAGGGUACCUUUGUAUUUUGCUUUUGACCUUGGUUCUGUGGUUUGGAUGUCAACAACUUCCCUAAAAGCACCAGUAUGUUAAGUUCUAAUGUCAUGACCCCAAUAUGGGUUAUUCACCUUUAAUCCUGUUUUCAGUCUCUAUGUGUACAGCAAUAUUUUUAAUAAAGAAUUACAGAGAAGUUUGUCCUUUUGGGGGGUACCAGUUCAUUUCACAAGGUUAAGUUUGUCUUAUGUCCAGGAUUUAAAAGGCCGAACAUUUCCUGUGUGUUUGGAGGAAUCGUUGGUGGCAGGUUUAUUCAUUAGUUUACCGGAUAUCUGCUAAAUGCCUACUUGGAUCUAUUUUGGGUGCUGAGAAUGCAGAUACCUGUACUUGUUAUUUAUGAAGUACAUAGUUCUACCCAAACAUUUCUAUAUAACACAUGGCUUACAGUGUAGUUUAGGAAGAAGAUAUGGCUAGCCUCUGAUUCAGUACUUGGGUAAUUUACUAUACAGGUGAAGAGUACCCUUCCCGCCAAGUCCUCCGGAAACAUUAUUCAGACUAUGAGGUAGGUUCGUUUUUGGUUUGUUUUUUUUUCUUUUUUUAAAUAUUUUUUUUUAAUGUUUGUUUAUUUUUGAGAGCGAGACAGACAGACAAGAGUGCUAGCGGGAGAGGGGCAGAGAGAGAGAGGGAGACGCAGAAUCUGAAACAGGCUCCAGGCCUGGCCUGAGCACAGAGCCUGACCCCGGGCUCAAACUCAGGAAUAGCAUAGCGAGAGCGCGACCUGAGCCGAAGCUGGACGCUUAACCCACUGAGCCACCCAGGCACCCCGAAGGUAGAUUUUUUUUUUAAUGGCAGAAACAUUCAUACUUAUUGAAUCUGAGUACUUAGUGUUUAUUGUGGUUAUUUCCUGUACUGUAUUGAAGUGAAAAGUUGAAAAACAGAAUAGAAAGUGAUAAGGGACUGGAGACCUAAUUGAGGGGUACUUAAAGAGGAAGGAGGGUUUAUUUUUAGCUGCAGGAACUAGUGAGUUGCUUUUAGAAAUUCGGAGAAGAGCGAGAAUAAGUGUAGAAGGGUCUUGAAAAAAAAAAAAAAAAAAAAAAAACCCAGUGGAUCCGGUGGCAAAUCAAAAUGACCACUGUAGGUUCAUGGGAAAGAAGGGAGACUAGUCUGCCUCGGAUGGAGGAUGUUUUGGGGGGAUCUUUCUUUUAGAUUUAGAUUUCUUGAGGGAAAACAUGAAACACAUUAAAAUAUUGUGUAAGCUAGGCCAGUGUUACAUCUGUUCAAUGGGGAUAAAAUGGCUCUGUUGUUUUCACGGCCUGUGCUCUGAAUGGUCAAAAACAGGUGUUUCCCCUUUCCUUCUACCUUUCGCAGGUGCACAGUUCGGGCUAUGUCUGUAAAAUGUCCUUCUGUACGAGUUUGGGGCAAGAGGGGCAGUGAAGAAAGACCUUUAAAACUCAUGUCCUUAAAAUUCGUUAAAAACAGUAUGCAUGGUGGUUAAGAAACCGGCUUGCCAGAACAAGAUUCUGACAUCCCACUCAGUGCAAUGAAUGCAUUGGAUUCGCUCAUUCAUGAAAUAUUUACCAAAUGCCUGUUCUGUGGCAGGCACUGCCCUAGAGGAAUCAACAGAACAACUCUAACCAUGACAGACAGAUCUUUCGGUUCCUACAGAGCUUCCAUUCUAGCAGGAAGAAGACAGAGUACGUGUAGAACGUUAAGAGGUAACAAUGGCUAUGGAAAGAGAGUAGAGUAGAGUCAAGGACGUGGGUAGGGUUGCCAGAUUUAGCGCACAAAAAUACAGAACACGGAGCUGGAUUUGAAUUUCAGGUAAACCACGGGUCGCUUCUUUUUUAGCGUUAAGGGGGUCUCAAGUAUUACAUGGGACAUGCUUGUCUUAAAAAGUUACUUGUGUGAAAUUCAAAUUUAAUUGGUUAUCCUGUGUGUGUUUAAUCUUGCAACUCUCGAUGUGGGGAAUGUGGUGGUGCUAGAAUUUCAGAUCGGAUGAUCUGGGUAGUAGGUCUUAUGGAGAAGGUGGUAUUUGAGCAAGGAGCCAGCCAGGUGGAUAUGGGAAGGAGAAGAAUUGCAGGUCAGACAAUGUGCCAGGCAUAUCUGAGGAAUGGCAAGGAGGCCAAUGUGACUAGAGUAAGAGUAAGGGCCAAUGGGACUAGGUGGGAAGUGAAAUCAGGUAACGGGGAAGGGGGUAGUGCUUUGUAGAGCAUCGUAAGACCAUGUUGGUGCUUACAUGGAAAAGAGAAGAAAGGUUGUGAGGAGAAUAACCUGGUACAAUUAAAAAGGAUCACUUUGGUUACUAGUUAGGAAGCUCUCGUGAUCUUUCAAGUGAAAGAUGAUGGGGGUUUGGACUCGGGUGGCAGAGGUGGCACGAAGUGACUGGAUUCUGAAUAUAUUUAACUUCAUUUAUUAUUCUUUUUUAAAAUGUUUAUUUUUUCGGAGAAAGAGUGCAAGCGGGGCAGGGACGGUGGCGGGGAGGGGCUGUGCGACGCAGAAUCCGAAGUGGGCUCCAGGCUCUGAGCUGUCAGCACAGAGCCCACACGGGGCUCGAACUCACGGACUGUGAGAUCAUGACCCGAGCCGAAGUCGGACGCUCAACCGACUGAGCCACCCAGGCGCCCCUUUUUUUAUUCUUUAAGUUUAUUUAUUUAUUUUUAGAGAGCGGGUCAGCAGGGGAGAAGCAGAGAGGAGGAGACAGAGAAUCCCAAGCAGGCUCCAUCCUGUCAGCACAGAGCUGAACACGGGGCUCGAUGUCACAAAUUGAAAUCAACACCUGAGCCGAAAUCAAGAGUGGGACGCUUAACCGACUGAGCCACCCACGUGCCUGAUUCUGAAUGUGUUUUAAAGACUGAGCCAAAAGGAUGUCCCAGUUAUUGGAUAUGGAGUGAAAAAAGAAGUCAGAGUCACUGUUCCGAUUUUGACCCUCUGCUGGGCAGGACGGAGGAUUCUAUUAAAUUGGAAGAGAGCGUUCUAGAAAAGGGUGUGUUUGGAGGGUGGGCAAGAAGGACACAGGAGCGAGGAAAGACAAUUGGGAGUUUGGUCUGACCUGUUCAGUUUAAGAUGUUUACUACGCAUUUGUUGUGGCUGCUGGCUGUUUUUAAUGAGUGGCUCCAGACUUAAUGGCCUAACACAACAACCGUUUUGUUGUUCUCAGGAAUUCUGUGGGUUAGGAGUUUGGACAGGGCACAGCUGGGAUGGCUUAUCUCUAUUCCAUUGUGUUUGGGGCCUCUGCUGGGAAAAUUUCAGUGGUUGGGGGCUGAAAUCAUUCCGAUCUGGCUGGCACCCAGACUGAAUGACUUAAAGGCUGGGCUCAGCCGGCGACUGUCCGUGGAAGCACCUACACGUGGGCCCACCAUGUGGCUCAGGCUUCUCCAGUCACGGCCACUGGGUCUCUAGCGGGAGCUUUUGGAGAAUGAGUGUACCAGGAGCCUCGGGUGGAAAGGGCAUGAUCUUUUCUGACUUGGCCUCGGGGCCAUGCAGUGUCACUUCUGCCACAUUCUGUUGAUCGCAAGUGAGUCACAAAGGCUUGUCUGAUUCUAGGGGAGAAGAAUUCGAUGGGGAAGUGGCAAGAGCAUGUUGCCAAAGGUCAUGUGGGAUGGGAGAUUGUGGUCGCCACUAUUUUUGGAAAAUACGGUCUGCCGCAGCCUAAGAGAUGCUCAAUUUAAUAUUGGCAUACAAGUGAGUUUGGAGUCUGGGGGAGAGAUCUGCUUUGCACGUGUAGUUUGCAAGUCAUUAUACAGAUGUCAUUUAAAGCCCUGAACUUGGUUGAGAUCAUGAAGGGAGUUAGCAUAACCGGAGAGGAGAAGAGGUCCAAGGACAGAGCCCUGGGGGAGUUGGAACAGUCAGUGCUCAAAGGUCAGAGAAGAGAGAAGAGAAGUUAAGAGGGAUGGAAAUGACCAGUGAAAUAGGAAGAAAAAUGUUUGAUGUCCUGGAAUCAAAGUAAAAAAGGUAUUUUCAAGAAUAAGGGUCAAAUUGAUGAGUCAACAAAGAUUGAGACUGAAAAUUGGCUGUUGCAUUUAGCAAUUUGCAGGUCACUCGUCACUGGCAACCUUAUCAAAAGCGGUUUCAGUGAGUGACACUGAAAGCCAGGUUUGAGUGGGUUUCAGAGUACUUGAGGGGGUGAACUCGGAAAUGGAGACUGACUACAUCAAGGAAUUUUGCUGUAAAGAACAAAGAAAUGGGGCGGUGGCUGAAGAGGCAAGUGGGGAUGAAAGGUUUUGUUUGUCGGUUUUUGUAACAUGGGAGGGGUAAGAGCAUGUUUGUGUGAUCUGAUGGGAGAGGGACACACUGAUGGGGGGUGAGGGAGCGGUGAAUUGCUGGAGCUGUGUCCUUGAGUACAGGGAGGAAUCAGGCGUGCUGGGACAGGUUUUGGAUGGACCCUCCAGAAAGGAAGGCAGAGCAUGUGGCUACAGGUGCAGGCCGGUGGUAGAUGUGAUGGUGAGAUUUUGAAGUGCUCUUUGGAUUACUUCAUUCAGUCUCCCCAUCGAUGUGGGCAUAACUAAUAGUACCAAUCACAUUGGAUUGCUUUGGAAAUUGAGUUUUAUUCCUCAAAGCACUUAGACUAGCUGCUGGCACGUGAUGUGGAUAUAUUUUCGUCUGAGAGGAAGCCCAUACUCUCUUAAAUUGGUCAUCUGUGAAUACUGUGGCAUUAAAUGUUUUUUCCUUUUAAUAAUCUUGUAUCGAAGAAUAGUACACACAUACAAGCUUGCAGAUAAGUUCAUAGUUCCAUGAAUUAUCACAAAGUGAACACACCUGUGUACCACACCCAGCUCAAGGAAUAGGGUAUUUGUGGCCUCUGGUUGUUUUGGUUUUGUGUUUUUCUCCCUUAAAAUAUCCUUCGUUGAGAAAAUAGAAGGUUAGUCAUCCCUGCGUUGGAACCCAGGAUAUUUUUGUAAAAUUUCCUGGCCUGUGAAACCCAGAAGUCUGGUAGUAUGUUUAACACUGACGAGUCCGAUAAACCUUACUGGGAGAUCCUUCUGCUGGAGAAAAGGGGAAAAAAACAAUUCCCAAAUGUCCUGUAAGUUUCCAGAGUCAUGAGAAAAUUUCUGAACCAAUUCCUCGAGCAUUCUUCGAAUCAUGUGCUUAAAUGAGUGACUUUACUCUUAUGUUAUGAAAACCGAUACUGUUUCUAAAGGAUUUCUGAUUCACGAAGAUAAAACGCCGUGUGCCCUCUUCGGUUAACCACAAAUUUACCAGGGGGAGUCGUUUUUUCUUUUUCUUGCCUUUGUCCCCAAAAAAGUAGACCUGCUUUCCCACAUAUGUCUCCAAUCUAGUUUCUGCGUGAUGUUUUCAGGAAGGUGACGGUAUGACCACUUACGAGGACAAUUUGUUGGUCACUUACUCCAUGUCUGUCCGUGAUGAUUGUGUCGACGACGUAAUUCACAGAAAACAGUAUGUGGCUAGUGUACUUUUCUUAGGGAAGCUCUCGUGUCUCAGGCUUCUGCCUAAUUAUUCUGUAUGGUUUCCUGCGUACCACCUCUAAUAUACACACAGACGCGCGCGCACACACAUCCUGUAAUUAUGGUAAUCGUUUCUUAGCUGAAAAUUAGUGUUGGGGAAAACCCGCCUCUUCUUUCAUUGAGGGUACCUCCAUCUGCAGCCAGUGCUUGUACUCGGUCUGUACAUUUCACUUCUAAUUGUAUUCAUUUUAGUGUUUUGUUUUCUGGGCGAUGUGCCUGGUUUGUGGUUUUGAUUUACUGUUUACAGCACCCUGAUGGUUUAGAGCAGCAUCUUGUGGUACUGAGAGAGGACUCUGCCCCUCUCUUCAGAGGUCUUGCUGGAUUUUCCUUGUGCUGUGUUUCACUGCUGGUAUUUAAGGAGAUGCCCCAGGACACCGGCCCUCCACCCCCAAGGAAAAACCUGUGACCCCCCCCCCCUUUUUUUCCUCACGUAUAAGCAAGUUGGAGAAAACAGGUAGAUGUUUUCAGAAGUUAAUUUUAUUAUAUGAAGAUAGCAUACAAAAUACAUUCAUGGUGACUAGAGAUGUAGGACCAAAUUAAGUCUUACUUAUAUCUGCAGCAUAUAUUCUUGUUUGUAUAAAAGUAACUUUAAAAUUCCAGUUUCCUUAAAUAGUCACGCACAACACACACACACGUAUAUACACAUACAGUUACUACCACUGUCAGUCCAAGUUGCGCUCCUUUUGCAAUGAAAAGGGACUGGCAAGUAUCUGUUCGUGUUUGACAUUCUUUACGGGCUGGGAAACCAGGCACAGCUAGAAGACCUACGUAACAUUUUUUUCAGGGUUUGGACAAAUUUGUUUCACGAGCUAAAACCAAGGUCUGAGCAUCGCUUCUUAGACUUAACUAGAUACAGACUUCCAUAUGGUUUCAGUCCCGUUCCACCCACACUGUUACACAUACAUGCUCUCACAAAUCCUGAAAGGACUGUGCCAACUAUGUUUGUCAUAAAUGCCAAAUGGUUCUAAUAAUACCAUGGGUUAAGGAGUGUUUCAGUUUUUAGUGUUUAACAUUCAGUGCUGGUUAAAGAACCAGUCUGUGGCAAGCACAUUGCAACUGGGUGGACUCAUGACUGCAAGCUUCCGUUUUCCUUUCUGUGUUAACACUCUAGAUGGAACCGUCUUGACCAAUGGACUCACGUAGGCUCUAAACCUGAGUCUUUGAAGCAGCUGAAUUAACAUAAAUUCUGAGGAUUUUUCUUCUUUUGGAAAGAUGGUAUCACUGAGGUCUUAGAACAAUUAAGAAUUAAUUAGGUUAUCAAAAUCAAGAUAUUGUACGUAUAGUUAAGGUUUUUGUUUUCACUCAUUGCUGGAUCCUUAUCGGAUAUGAAAAAUCGGCAAAGCUGAUUGAGGUCUUCUUUUCUUUUCCCUGUUGAACCUCCUUCUGGUUACCUCAUUGAUACUAUCACCGACUGUCACAGGUGGUUUUUGUGCACAUGAAGACGAGGAAGAACAAAGCUUUUCCCCUCUUCUGGCCCUGGCCUGAUUUUGUCUGGACUGGGGUCCUGGUGGAGAGGCCUGCCUCACUUCUCUGCUGGCCAGACGCUUCUCCAGCAGAACCCCCACCGGAGCACCUGCUUCCUUCCUUUUGGGGUGUGCUGACUGUCCUGUCUCUUUAGACUAAGAACCUUGACACAGGAAUGUGACACACAGGGAAGGAAGUAAAGAUUCUCCUAUUAUAUUUCAGGUUCUAGAGUUAAGUUACUUGCCUAAAGGGAAGCACACUUCGUCUCUACCAGAAGCAGCAAUUCACUGUUAACCUGUCCAGCUUUGACUGGCUUUAGAAGGUACAUACGUCCUAAAUACACAGCAUCAGAGCCUGCUGAGAGUUCCAGGGUCUUUAAACCCUGAAGAGUAGGCACCCUUUUGUACCCUGUCUCCCUAUUUCCAUCAUUCUCAGACCCAAGGCAAGGGCCAAAGCAGAUGAAGAGAGGCUUUUCUCCUAUCGAUGGCUCAAUAACUAAUAUCCUGAGUCCCAAUUCUAAAAGUAUCUUGCAUAAAUUACAUAUCACCUUUUUUCUCCAGGAGCAUAAAGUGCUUAAUAAACAUUGGUUAAUACUCUUCCACAUCUUUCCAGUAGACCAGCAUGAGAUUGUAGAAUCCCUAUUAAAAAGGAAACAUGAUUGGCUUCCUCUCCUUUGGGCCCCAACUGUUCCCGCGAGUUGGUUUGGGUGGUAAAGAGAUGGGGUUUUUACUGUGCUCAUCCUGCUUUCGCUCCACCUAUCCUGGUUUUGGUACAGAGGAAACCCUCCGCAGGACUCUUUGUUUUCAUCCUCCUCAGCUUCCGUUUAUAACUAACUGGACAAAACAGGUUAGUGUAAAAAAAAAAAAAAAAAAAAGUGUCUUGAUUAUAUAUUAAUACUCAAAAUAGAAUCUGACAACAUUUUUUAAAAUGUGGCUUAAAGCCCCACAGGUAACCCUAACAGACCAAACCCGUUCCAGUGAGCUUACUCUGAGCAAUCUGCUAAGUGCAAGGCCAUGGUGCCCGUGGAGCCAGCCGAGCUCAGGGUGAGUUUUCAGUGUAUAUUGCCAGAGGGGCCUGCAGUCCGGGCUCAGAUCUGAGCACCACGCUCCGUGCUAGAAAUUUUAAAAUGUGCCAUAUGUGGGAAUGGGCAUAGAUCCAGUCCCAUAGCUAACGUUUUAAAAUUUGUAGUUGCCAAAAAGAAAAAAAUUGCUUGUCCUUUACUUGCCUGCUGGAAUCCAGAAAAUGUCCCCUCGUGUCUCUGUCCUGUCUGCUCCCCAAGGUGGGUUCUCAGUGUGGACCGGGUUUGGUCCGGGUCCGGAAGCCAUUGCAGUGUCAUGGGGGACAGCCCUCACCUACUCCCUUCCCAUGCAGGACGGCGCCAAUUCUCCCCAGUGCUUUUGUCCUCCUUGCUCGCUUCUUCCUUUCUCCCUUCUCCUCCUCCUUCCCCGGAAGUUGCAUCUGCUAGAGGACCCCAGAGACACUGCGCGGGCCGGCUUACGGCUCGUUGCCUCCCGGUUCCAGGGUGCUGGUGGCUGGCCCCGUGGAGUCCAUGCUGCCUCGCAUGAUCGGUGCAUCUCCUGAAUCACUGAACGCCCUGCGGUCUCGGGGGCAGGAGCAGGUAAGUCACUGGGCUUGGGAAUAAGGGUCUCUCUAACACACUGAAUUAACGUGAGGAUUUACCAGUGGUGUUCUUUACUUAUCACUAUUACUCUAUCUGGGGUUACAUUCUUGUUAGUCAAAAAGAAAAAGAAGCACUUAUUAAAAAAAAAUCACAAAAGGCAGCUUGCUCCUGUGGAAAGGUAAAGGUGUACACGUAUGUAUGUGUCCUACUGGCAAAAGCUAGUUUUCAGGGGGUAUAAAUACUCGCGUGGUUCUAGAAAUAAGGCUACGUGUCGAACUUUUAGACAGGCGGGGUGGAAUAUAGGACCACCGAGUUGUAGUCUGGGGGAGGAGAACAGGACGAAAUCUUCUUCUCCAGCUCUGAGUUGUCGUAUGUGAACCUGCGCCUGCCUUUGCUGGUGUGCCCACACCUGGGAUGGCAGACAGUAGGCCGCAUGAGGUCGGAAAGCCCCGACUCCUUACUUUUACUGGUUACUCUCAAGCUAAAGAAAGGAAAGAAAAGAAAACAAAUGCACAAAAUUGAUUUCUUGGAAACAAACGCUGAUGUCCGUCCGCUCUCUCCCGUCGGGUCAUUUGCUCACGGCUGUUCUACAGCUGACGGUUAUUGAGCCCCAUCCCCACCUCCGGGCAGGUGCCCUCUGUCCUAAAGCUGCACGCUGCCCCUCUACUCCCAGCUCGGUGGCACCCGGCAGAAUGACGUCUUCCACUGGCCAGGGGGGCGGCAGACUGUGUGACCAGAUACCGCACAUCCGUCAUCUCAGGUGGAAAAUGCCUCCAGGACACUCAUGGCCCUCCCCUGUCCUUAGACCAGUUAGCUACCAUCGUGGGCUGAAAAAUGCUCCCGCCUCCAGAAUCCCUGGAACCUGUGACUGGCACUUGAGAUGGCAGAAGACUGAAUAUUCUCUUCCGGGGUGAGAGAGGUGGUGGAGCUGAGGAUCUGCGGAAGAGGAACUUAGCCUGCAUUAUCCAGGCGGACCCUGAGCACAACCACAUGUGUCCUUGUAAGAGAGGGUGAUGGAGAUGCACAGCCACACGCAGAAGGCGGGGGGGGGGGGGGGGGGGGGGGGGGGGUGGAGCAGAGACACGUGGCCAUGAGCCACGGAAUGCCCAGAGACACCAGGAGCUGGAAAAAGUGAGGAAUGGAUGCUCCCUCGGCCUUCCAGAGGGAUCGUGGCUCUGCCCGUACCUUGAUUUGGGGCUUCUGGCCUCCAGAACUACAAGAGAGUACGUUUCUCUCUCUUUAAGCCACCAAGUUUGUGAUCGCGUGUUACAACAGCAUCAAGAAAUGAAUAGAGCUUCAUACAAAAAGGUUAGUGCGGUUGUCUCCCCGUCAUGUUUGUGUUCUAGAAAACUUUUAAGUUACGGGACUCUAUGUCACUAGCAAGGCUCAAAGGAGAAACUUGCUUCUGGUUCUGUAUUUUGCAUCCAGCAUAAGAUAGAUAAACAAGAAAGAAAAGCUUGUCUUGUCCAUUCAUGUUUGUUUGUUGAGAGAGGAUAUGCAAGUAAGCCUGCAGGGGAGAGAGGGUGGGGGCAGCGGGAGCAGCAGGGGCUCAUCGAAGCAGGACUUGAGUUCACCCGAAGCGGGACUCAAACUUACGAACCGUAAGAUCAUGACCUGAGCCAAAGUCCGAUGCUUCCCCCACUGAGCCACCCGGGAGCCCUCACGUUUGUUUCUUAAUAGCUGGGAUGAGAAUGAGGAAACCUGAUGCGCCACCACAGUUAGGUUGGUUCUGGACGAACACGUCCAGCAUUUUCUUUUUAAAAAUUUUUUUAUUUUGAGAGAGACGGAGAGACAGAAGCCCAAGCAGGCUCCGUGCUGUCCGAUUCAGGGUUUGAACUCACAAACCACGAGAUCAUGCCCUGAGCCGAAACCCAGAGUUGGAUGCUGAAGCGACUGAGCCACCCAGGCUCCCCAACAUGCAUUAUCUAUAUUUUUAAUCUCUGGAGUGUGCAAUCGUUUUCCUUCACAAAGAUCUAGGUAAGUGUUCCAAAGUAGAAAACAAAAGGUUGUGGUAUCCUGCUUCCUUUCCUCCUGUGUAUACUUAUUCUUUGUGAGGGUCCCCUAAUCUGUUACCCUCUGAGGGGACUCCACUCUGGGAUCAUCAUUGUGCUUAUGUUACCAGGAAACUAUGCAGAUGUUUGCCUGGCCAUGUUCCUACCCUUUGGAUUUAUAUCACUCAGAGAGGCAUUUGGAGCGAUCUUUUGACUUAGAUCAAGAUCAGCAAACUACAACCUGUGGGCUGGUCACCUGCAUGCUUUGUUUUGUUUUUAAGCAGCUUUAUUGAGAUACAGUUCACUGUUUAAAGUGUCCAGCUGAGGGGCACCUGGGUUGCUCAGUCGGUUACGCGUCUAACUUCAUCUCAGGUCAAGAUCUCAUGGUUCGUGAGUUCGAGCCCUGUGUCGGGCUCUGUGCCGACAGCUCAGAGCCUGGAGCCUGCUUCCGAUUCUGUGUCUCCCUCUCUCUCCCCCUCCCCUCUUGCACUCUGUCUCUGUCUCUCAAAAAUAAACAUUAAAAAAAAUAAAGGGUCCAGCUGAAUGGUUUUUAGUAUAUUCAUAGAUGGUGCAACCAUCAACACAAUUGAUUUCAGGCCAUUGUCAUCCCCCAAAACCCAUACCCAUUAGCAUAGCCAAUUGCCCUUCUCCCACACUUCCCACCCCCCGCCCUAGACAACCACUGGUCUACUUUCUUUCCACAGAUCUGCCUGCGCCCGGCGUUUCAUGUGAAUGGAAGCCUACCGCAUGUGGUCGGCGGUGACUGGCUUCGUUCACUUAACAACGUUUUCAAGGUUUGUCCACGUUGUAGCAUGUACCAGUACCUUGUACUUUUUUAUUGGCAAAUAAUACUCGAUCGUAUGAGUCUACUGCAUUUUAUCCAGCAACUGAAGGACAUUUGGCUUGCUUUUACUUUGGGUCAUUAUGAACGAUGCUGCUACGAACAUUUGCGUACAAGUUUUUGCGUGAACGUUAAGUUUUCCUUCUGUUGGGUGGGUGUGUACCUAAGGAGGGCAACUGCUGAGUCACAGAGUAACUCUAAUUAACCUUUUUGAUUAAGAUCGGCCAGACCGUUUCCCCAAGUGGCCAGACCGUUUUACAUCCCCACCAGCAACGCACGAGACUUUCAUCACCUCCAACUUUUUGGUUCUAGCCAUCCUGGUGGGGGGUGAAGCUGAUCUGCAUUUUCCUGAUGACCCGUGACCUUAAGCAUCUUUUCUUGUGCUCACUGGCCACGGCUACCUGUUUUUGUAAAUACAGGUGAUUGGAACACAGCCACAACUCCUUGUUUAUACGUUGUUGAUGGCUGCUCUUACACUACAGUGGCAGGGUUGAGUAGCUGUUUUGUGUGUGGGUCCUGAAGAAAAGACGGUCAGGUUCUUGACUUUGGGGUAGACAGGGCAGGCGUUUGAACGCGGGAAGGAAGGAAUCCCUGAUGGAUAGUUUGCCUGUCCAGUGCUCUUCCCAGGCAGAGACUAGCACGGAGAAGCCGAAGUGACAGCAGGGCCAGUGGAAUAAAAAGCCGGAGCCUAAGUAAUUCCAACGCUACUUGCCGACGGCCACUGUAGGGAUGGAAUGCCAGGAUCCAACAGGAAACAAGCUUUCGUUUGGAAGGGUUGGCGUCUCAGGAUGGCAUGUCUUAGUACCGGAAAACAGGGCUGUGACGCUUCCUGUACAGAUUUUGCCAGCCGAGGCUGUAAUCGCAGGCCAGCUCCCCUCCCCGCCCCCACGAGCACGUCUCCAUCUGACUUAGGCACUGUUCACAGGUGGGCAUGUCAGGCUCCUUCCAACUGAGUCACUGUGCCUCACGCGUUUGGACUGCCUGUCCUGUUGGGAGUUUUCUGCAUGUUUUCACUUCUUAAAUCCCAGGCUUCCUUCUCUGCUCUGGUGCUCAUGGCCCUGAUUUUAUACCCUCUUUCUUGCCCUUCUGAGGGGGAAAACAGUGCUUUUCUGCAAUGCCUGGACACUGUAGUUCAGGGAGGCAAGUAGCCCUCAAAUGUCCCCAUUACAUUUUCCCCAGCAUCUUCCUUCACACCCCUCCAUCGAUUGAUCAUAGAAAAGACCCCCCCCCCCCCCCCCCCCGCCAACUUCCUUACUCAAUCUUCAGUGAGGCCUUGGGUUUGCUCUCAGCCCAGGUGAAGCGCUUCAGCAAGGGGGAGGCCAGCAGAGAGCCACUGUCCAUCUGGGGGCAAAUCUACAUUUUGUUGCAAGCAAUGCCUAUUAUUCCCAGUGACUUGGAGGCCCUGCUUCCCGAAGGGGAAGGAAAUGCAUUUAAACACAAGGGAAAACUACAAGUAACAGGAAGGCUGGCAGAGAUCUCCACCAUCUGGCUCUUCCUCGGGCAAGUUCACCUACUGACGGAGUUUCUCAGUCUGAAACCCUGUCACCAUCUGCAAGGCCCGAUUUCUAGGUGAGCGCUUCAUUGGUCGAAGGCUGAGCAACCCCCUGAAAGGGCUCAAGCAACUUUGACAGCUUCCCUCCUUCAUCUCUGACACAAUCAGCUACUGCGAAUGUGUUCGGUCUGACCUAGUUUUCUUGUCUUUAAAAAGAAAUGGGUGAUUCAUUUGUUGCAGCCUGUUGGGCUGGUCACGGAGAGGGAGCAGUGCCACCGACAUGUAACCCAUUACCACAAAUCGGGGCUGGUCACUGGACUUCUCGGCCUGUCACAGAUGGCUGUCAGUCUUUUCAGACUGGCCCAACCCUUAGCUAUGCCUCCCCUGGUCACCUGCCCAGUUUGGCUGCACUGAGGUCAAAGCUCUGGGGUUGUGCCUGUUGCAGAUGAAGACGCUAGAAGGCCCAUAGGAUAGUCUUAAACACCCUAAACAUAGUCCUAACUGCAUGGAAACACGGACGCAGUGUUAAAAUACCUGGGUCACAGACUCUAUUCUGCCACUUUCUAGGCACACAGUUUUGGCACGCUAUCUUCCAUGGAGCCUUAAGGGCCCCAUUUGUGUAACGGUAAUAAUAAUAUCUACCGUAUAGUAUUGUUUUGAGCAUUAAAGGAAUUGAUGCUUUGUACAAAGAGCCCAGCACAGUCCCAGACCACGCACAGCAUCAGUGCUGAAUGUGUAUGAUACACACGUAACCAUUAGUAGCGAUGUUUGAUUCAUAUGUGACUGUUGGCAUUGAUGUGGGAUGGUCAUUGGUAAUGACGUGUUGACACACGUAUAAUCGUUAGUACUGAAGAGCUGAUCCCCGCCCAGCACCCAGUGGAGACACCGAAUCCAUACAUUUUCCCUUGUCCCUUCUCCAAUUUUCCUCUACAGUAAUGAAUGGUAUGUUAGUGUAUCCAGUAAGAAAAACAAAUUAUUUUAUCUGAGGUCUCAUGAAAAAAAAAAAAAAAGUCUUUGGGGAAAAAAAAAGAUGUAAGAUUAUUCUAAAUAAGAGUCAAGAGGGGCACCUGGGUGGCUCAGUCGGUUAAGUGUCCGACUUCAGCUCAGGUCAUGAUCCCACAGUUCGUGGGUUCGAGCCCCGCGUCGGGCUCUGUGCCGACCGCUCAGAGCCUGGAGCCUGCUUCAGAGUCUGUGUCUCCCUUUCUCUCUGCCCCUCGCCUGCUCACACUCUGUCUCUCUCUCUCU